Molecule: long non-coding RNA, 1832 nt
Organism: Brassica rapa (field mustard)
Lineage: Eukaryota; Viridiplantae; Streptophyta; Magnoliopsida; Brassicales; Brassicaceae
Source: RefSeq, a predicted model, not a curated record
UUCCCAACCCGAAUGGUUCAGUUCAGUUCGGUUAAAACAGAACCGAACCGAUAAACCGAAAUGUUUUUAUAGUUAUUUAAAUUAAAAAUAUUAGUGAUAUCAAGAUAUUAAAAUCCUAAGACUUAGUCCAAUUAAUUUCUUUUUGCACGAAAGAAAUCCUAAUAUAAUUUGAUUUCCAUGACACUUCGUCUAACUUUUGUAAUAUUUGUCAUUAAGCCCACAUAAUUUCUAUGUUAAUUGUUAUAAAGUUAUAAACUAUAUUUGUAACUUUUAAAAAGAUUUUUAUUUGGUUUUAUAUUGAAUUUAAUUUACAUACUUAAUUUUAUAUUAUGACCAACGCGAUUAUUUCAUGACAACCAUACAUUUAUGUAUUAAAACAUGAUUUCUUGUACAAUAAAUAAACUAAGAGAAAUCUGAUUAAACCGAAUCGAACCGAAAUACAAACUGAAUCGAAUACAAACAGAACCGAAUAUAAACCGAACCGAACAUAACUGAACCGAAAUCGAUCCAAACCAAACUAACUAUGGUUUACUUCAGCUGGAAAAAUUCUAGAACCGAACUAACCAAACCGAACCGAACUCGAACCGAACCGAUAAAAUAACCGAAGUGCCCACCCCUACAUUUAACACAAAGUUAACAGCGAGACUUAACAAUCUCUAGACAACAUUUCCUGGUGCCAAAUUUGUCUACGUAUACAUGUAUAAUCUAGUCUUGAUCUCAUCAAAAAUCCUCAGGCUUCAGAGCCUAGAGUGACAAAGAUUCAGUGGGUUCAUCUAUCGGGAGAUGUCUCGGACUCGUUACUAAGAAAAAAUUUCAACUCAAGUUUACUAUCUUGUAUAACGGUCUCUACGGAUCAGAAAAUGCAAUCAAAAUUUCUUAGGAUUUCUCGUAGGUGACGGUUGAAUCUCAACGUCACAACCUAAAGUGACUAUUUUUUAGCUAUCUAAUUUUGUUGUGAAGGCCAUAUCGAUGGAUUCAAGUUUCGCCUCGAGCUCGCUGUCAUUUUUUCAAGAAGACCUAUUUGUUUUAUUUCUCUUUGUUUUUGUAAUUUAUGCUUACCAAAGAUUAUGAAUAAUUCAAUCUUUUUAUUAUAUCCCAACAAUAUGAGUUUAAUGAAGUAAUUGAUGAGUUUAAUUUGGAAUUUUUACUGUUUAUAAUUGAUGUGGCUGAUGGAUAUUAAAUGCUGACGACGUAUCCUGUUCUUUUGCCCGGAUGCAUCUUGUUAUAUGUGUUCUGGGACGUUGUCCACCCUAGCGAGAAUUCAUGUCAAACGAUUGCACCAAAGAUAAUUGAAUAACUCUAGCGAGAAACACAUCAUGGUGGUCUAGUGGUUUCUACUAGAGGAAGAGUUGCCCUAUUGGUCCAGGUCAGGGACUCCUUUCUAGUACGGAAUUAUUAGUUCUAUAUGUGACCACGUGGAUAUGAAUAAGCCCAUGUUUACGGUCUAUUUGAAUACCUGGGAGAGAAUUCAUCUGUGGGUUACACCUCCCACUCAGGAAUUAGAUAUGUAUUUUUAAUAGACUCGGAUUUAAUAUUUUCUCGGUAAAAAAACUCAAGGAGAAACUCGCAUGAUAUAUUUCUACAUUUAUCUUUACUUUUAACUUAGUUAUAAACAUAUACUGUAUUAUUCAUAUUCGGUUUCCAUAUUCAUAGAAAGAUAAAAGUUGUCACAAAAUACAAAACCAGUGUUCGUUUCUCUUAAUAGACAUCUGGGGAUCUUUUCUGUCGAGUUAUUAACCAAUGUCUCUUAACAGAAUUUUGGGACGACAAAGCUUGUAUUUUCAACAUGGUUUCAGACGAAAUAUACAAUAUGAGCUUUAUUACUUGACUUC